GGAGAGGUGGCAGAGUGGUUGAAUGCGGCGGUCUUGAAAACCGUUGAAGGUUUUUAUCUUCCGGGGGUUCGAAUCCCUCCCUCUCCGCCA
RNAcentral lists this transfer RNA (90 nucleotides) under Actinomycetes bacterium. RNAcentral describes it as "Actinobacteria bacterium tRNA-Ser". It matches the Rfam family "tRNA". From Rfam's summary of the family: Transfer RNA (tRNA) molecules are approximately 80 nucleotides in length. Their secondary structure includes four short double-helical elements and three loops (D, anti-codon, and T loops). Further hydrogen bonds mediate the characteristic L-shaped molecular structure. tRNAs have two regions of fundamental functional importance: the anti-codon, which is responsible for specific mRNA codon recognition, and the 3' end, to which the tRNAs corresponding amino acid is attached (by aminoacyl-tRNA synthetases). tRNAs cope with the degeneracy of the genetic code in two manners: having more than one tRNA (with a specific anti-codon) for a particular amino acid; and 'wobble' base-pairing, i.e. permitting non-standard base-pairing at the 3rd anti-codon position. Lineage: Bacteria; Bacillati; Actinomycetota; Actinomycetes. The record is from RNAcentral. RNAcentral also lists the same sequence under 4 other names.